GGGCCCGCACAAGUAGUGGAGCAUGUGGUUUAAUUCGAAGAUACGCGCAGAACCUUACCAACACUUGACAUGUUCGUCGCGACUCUGAGAGAUCAGAGUUUUCGGUUCGGCCGGACGAAACACAGGUGCUGCAUGGCUGUCGUCAGCUCGUGUCGUGAGAUGUUGGGUUAAGUCCCGCAACGAGCGCAACCCUCACUUUUAGUUGCCAUCAUUAAGUUGGGCACUCUGAAAGAACUGCCAGUGAUAAGCUGGAGGAAGGUGGGGAUGACGUCAAGUCCUCAUGGCCCUUACGGGUUGGGCUACACACGUGCUACAAUGGUAGUGACAAUGGGUUAAUCCCAAAAAGCUAUCUCAGUUCGGAUUGUCGUCUGCAACUCGACGGCAUGAAGUCGGAAUCGCUAGUAAUCG
RNAcentral lists this ribosomal RNA (408 nucleotides) under uncultured bacterium. Its description in RNAcentral is "bacterial SSU rRNA". It matches the Rfam family "Bacterial small subunit ribosomal RNA", at positions 917 to 1344 of the family's 1533-position model. The record is from RNAcentral.